UUGCUAGCUAAUCUCCUCCAAGGGGUUGGCCUCCUGGAGAGAAAGGGAGAGACAUGUUCUCUCCAAUUUUCUCCAAAAGAAAACCCUAAGGAUGAAAUGUCUAUAAAGUUGCCUUUAUACCACCUCACAAUGGAGUGGCAAACUUCCAAUUAAGCCAAGUUCACUACCCCUUUCUAUAUGGCCAGCCAUUAAGGGUUCAUUGGGCUUUCAAGCCCUUUGUGUUUUCAAGUUGUCAUACAACUUGAGUUAAUAGGCUUGACAUUCAAAUCCCAUUGGGCCUUGCGGCCCAAAACUAACCCGAGGUCUUUAACGAACUUUAUUCGUUUGAUUAAUUAACUUAUUAAUUAAUCCUUGCCAUAAAUAAUUAAACCAUUUAAUUAUCCUUACUCAUCUCCGUUGUUUCUUCAAUCUCUACCUUACACGGUGUACGAUCCAUUAGGUUCCUUUUAGCGAGGCAGUGGGCGAUUAGAACUCUUUCAAAUCAAUUGUGAAUUGAAACUUACUUUCAAUUCUCCCUUUAGUGAUUAUACACAUUUAGGGCUUCCAUAAACCAUGAGUGACACCUAGCAGUAUGUCAUGGUUACCCAAGCUAAUCAGAAGAGGUGGAGAACCUAUUCAGUUUAGGAUUACAAUGCAAUACGGUUUUUCUCUAAUACAAUACUCUUGACCACAUUGUUUGGUUUGAUAGUUUAAUCAUGUCUACUAUCCAAUGUGAUUUAUUUACUUAUAUGAUUACCUUGAAUGUGAUUUAGAACAA
Molecule: long non-coding RNA, 757 nt
Filed under: Malus domestica (apple)
Lineage: Eukaryota; Viridiplantae; Streptophyta; Magnoliopsida; Rosales; Rosaceae
Description: long non-coding RNA (MDOM_LNC004233)
Source: RNAcentral